This 251-nucleotide long non-coding RNA is filed under the name Lathyrus oleraceus (garden pea). Its description in RNAcentral is "Pisum sativum (pea) long non-coding RNA (PSAT_LNC019968)". Lineage: Eukaryota; Viridiplantae; Streptophyta; Magnoliopsida; Fabales; Fabaceae. The record is from RNAcentral.
GUGAACUCCGCUGGGGACUUACAGGAGAUAAAAUUUGUGUUGGGCUGAUCAGUCACCAUUUAUAGUAAGUUUUCAUUACUGAUCCGACGUAAAACAGAGACAUUUGAUACACUGUGCAAGCAUUUAAGGUACAAUUCGAUCAGUUUUACUUCCGUUAUAAUAUUUACGCAUUUUUAAUCGUUAUUAUGUUUUACGUUGUUUAUCUUGAUUUUAUGCGUGGGAUAUCUGUGUUUUUGUCAGACAGAUCCAGG